RNAcentral lists this ribosomal RNA (521 nucleotides) under uncultured bacterium. RNAcentral's name for it is "bacterial SSU rRNA". It matches the Rfam family "Bacterial small subunit ribosomal RNA", at positions 984 to 1509 of the family's 1533-position model. The record is from RNAcentral.
ACAUGGUCGGAAUCCUGAAGAGAUUUAGGAGUGCUCGAAAGAGAACCGACACACAGGUGCUGCAUGGCUGUCGUCAGCUCGUGUCGUGAGAUGUUGGGUUAAGUCCCGCAACGAGCGCAACCCUUGUCAUUAGUUGCUACGAAAGGGCACUCUAAUGAGACUGCCGGUGACAAACCGGAGGAAGGUGGGGAUGACGUCAAGUCCUCAUGGCCCUUAUGGGUAGGGCUUCACACGUCAUACAAUGGUACAUACAGAGGGCUGCCAACCCGCGAGGGGGAGCUAAUCCCAGAAAGUGUAUCGUAGUCCGGAUUGUAGUCUGCAACUCGACUACAUGAAGUUGGAAUCGCUAGUAAUCGCGGAUCAGCAUGUCGCGGUGAAUACGUUCCCGGGUCUUGUACACACCGCCCGUCACACCAUGGGAGCGGGUUUUACCAGAAGUGGGUAGCCUAACCGCAAGGAGGGCGCUUACCACGGUAGGAUUCGUGACUGGGGUGAAGUCGUAACAAGGUAAGCGUAGUGCU